CCUACGGGGGGCUGCAGUAGGGAAUAUUGGACAAUGGGGGCAACCCUGAUCCAGCCAUUCCGCGUGCAGGAAUAAGGCCCUAUGGGUCGUAAACUGCUUUUGUAUGGGAAAAAAUCAUCUUACGUGUAGGAUGUUGAUGGUACCAUGAGAAUAAGGAUCGGCUAACUUCGUGCCAGCAGCCGCGGUAAUACGAAGGAUCCAAGCGUUGUCCGGAUUUACUGGGUUUAAAGGGUGCGUAGGCGGGGAAUUAAGUCAGUGGUGAAAGCUGGUAGCUC
Molecule: ribosomal RNA, 275 nt
Filed under: uncultured bacterium
Lineage: Bacteria
Description: partial 16S ribosomal RNA
Rfam family: Bacterial small subunit ribosomal RNA
Source: RNAcentral